GACAAUUUCAGAAACGCCAAUACGCGUGG
This 29-nucleotide small RNA is filed under the name Bombyx mori (domestic silkworm). Its description in RNAcentral is "ovarian small RNA-5039". Lineage: Eukaryota; Metazoa; Arthropoda; Insecta; Lepidoptera; Bombycidae. The record is from RNAcentral.